ACUAAAAGUGACCAUCAAAUUGACCCAAUACCGAUUCCUACUCAUCUGCAUAUGUAGAGGAGUGAGUCACCAUUAAUUGCAGGACAAGUUAGGAGAUUACUAUAUCAUUAGCUUGAUAUCAGCAAAACAAAGGAAUGCUCCUAAACUCCUCGUAUACCACAUAUUCAGGUUGAAAUCAUGGGUUCCUUCAAGGAUUAGAAGUCGUGGAUC
Non-coding RNA from Mus musculus (house mouse), 210 nucleotides. The record is from the annotation of a RefSeq genome assembly. Lineage: Eukaryota; Metazoa; Chordata; Mammalia; Rodentia; Muridae.